Molecule: non-coding RNA, 5763 nt
Organism: Coturnix japonica (Japanese quail)
Lineage: Eukaryota; Metazoa; Chordata; Aves; Galliformes; Phasianidae
Source: RefSeq, a predicted model, not a curated record
UGUCACUGCUGAAACAUGCCACCUACCACGUUGCUGUGCUCACAUCUGCUGUUUGGUCUCCAUAAAUGUCUGAAAAAUGUCCAUGAAUGCCAAUAAGUUCCAUUCAACCUCUAAUGCCAGACACCAACAUCUGCCUCUAAUGUUGUGGGUCAGUGUAAUCAAAUAGGAGGCAUCACUUUUGGGGAAGCUCUCCUAAAUUUGGAGUAGCUCAGUACUUGAACCAUAGUGACUGAAACAGAAAUUUGCACCUAGCAAAAGUGCUACUGUUUCAUUGGGCUCUUUUCUUGUUUAAUGUAACAAAUGCACCAGUUUUCUAACAACAACUUUAAACACCAUUCAUCAAUAAAUCCAUUGCUCUGCUCAGCUUGUAUUACGUGCCACUGAUUAACUACCAUUAAAUUAGCAGUUAGUGUAAUCAGAUAUAAACAUUCCUUUGUGGCUAAGCUGUUAAACUUUUUUCCUUUUUACAAUUGCAUGUAGCACAUGUCGGCACGAGACGGGCUCUGUAAUUUCGCAUUACUGCAGCUAAAUUAUGUUUGUGGGCUCCAGAAACGCUUCUGGUGCUACCAGGCUCAUAAACACCUACCUGGCAGGGAAAAGCUACAACUUCUGCCCCAGAGCAUUGGGGAUUUAACAGAAUUCAGCAUAGUACAGUGACUGAAUUUAUUGCACAAGUGUACUUGUGGGCUAUGGACAAGCGAUUGAUAUGAGGAGCUCAGAACUGGUCUGCUGCCCUUUGCUAAUUUUCACGCUGGGUCAUGUUAUUAAUAGAUGUAAGUAAGCCUUGCUGUGAGGGGACAUGACAGAAAAGCAGACCUCUGGAGUUUAAAAGGACAGCAAUGUAACUCUGUGAUUUUCAGCUCUAGGGACCAAGAACUAUUUCAAGCUGUAGUACUCAGAAAUGAAUUCUGAUUUUACAAAUGGAAAAAUUUAUAGGUGCUUAUUUGUACUGUAGAAUAACUAUAUUUUAUGUGUAAGUCUCAAAUUCCAGGCAUUUUGGAAAAUCUUUUAUAGACAAACAAAACACACAGCUGCAGUCAUACUCAGAAGCCAUUUUCCUUUGAGCCUGCACAGUACAGAAUGUGCAGAAACAACGAUACAAAUUGUGAGCUGAGGUUUGAGGUACUAAGAGACUUUACGCUUCAGGAGAUGUGAAAAACAUCUAGCUGGACUGAAGAGAUGGCAACAAGGUCACCAUAUGGAUGCAGCCAGAUGCAAAGGGCAGAAGCCCUACAACCAAGCUCAGAAGUUUCUGUUGUGAAUAGUAUCCUUGGAAAUGACCCUCUGGUUAAAAACAAAGCAAUAAUAAAUCCCUGCGAAAAACAGAGGUCUGAGUUUCUCUGAACGUCAUUACCUUCAAAAGCCAUCAGACCCUGUGCUGUGUCAGGGUGGCACUGUGGAGAAGACGGAGUGGUUGGAAAGGAGGGCUGGUAACAAUGUAGUUACACAGAGAUACCAUCAGAUACUGUCCAGGCUGCAGGUAAGAACGUUUGUCUGUGUACCAGGCUGGAACAAAUAGAUACAAUGUGGUUUCAGAGCUUCCCCACUUUGCAAAGUUCGCACCACUGAGGAGUAGCGAGGCACAGCCACACCUUAAAAGCAAAGUCAGUGGGAAGAAAAACCUCAUAGCAAAGAAUCUAAAGAAUCACUGAAUCACAGAAUAGCUUGGGUUGGAAGGGACAUCAGAGAUCAUCCAGUCCCACCCCCAGCCGUGGGCAGGGCUGUGCCCUCUCCCCACACCCCCACCCCAUUCCCGGGCUCCAGCUCAGGAUGCCCACGGUCCCAUCCAACCUGGCUUUAUCUACCUCUAGGGAUGGCGCAGCACAGCUUCUCUGGGUAGUAGUCACAGUGCCUCAGCUCGGUGGUUAUAGCUCAGAAACAUUUACCCCGUGUAGCAUUGGGGGAGGGGACUGUUUGCACACAGCUACUCGCAUCCUGGCUGUGCCGGGAGGUGCCAGACAGCUCCUGGGAGCUUAUGUAGACCAAGUGCACUGGGGACUUGCUACCAUAUUGCUCUCAUCAGAACAAACAAUGCUUAAAGUAUCUGUGAGAGGUGACCGAGUGCUUUUGGCAUGUCCUCGGGGGAGAAUAAGCCAUGGGGAACUCACACUGGCUUUUCUAAACGUUUGCUGGAGAAGCUCUCAGAUACAUUAUUCACAGGCUGGCAGAGGGAGCUCAGUCUCUUGGCACUGCAGACUGUGGGAGCUGGGCAGCCGCUGGGAGGAGCGAGGAAGCAGCUGAACCGUGCAAACCUCUGCCUGUGCCCUGCUUACUGACCUUCACCCUUGUACAGUUGUGGGAUGGUGCCAGCGUGCCAGGGGGAGCAGGAGGGCUGCUGCAGGUUCUGAGGGCACCUUCCACGCUGGGCUCUUCUGCACAGUGUCCUGCUGUGUUAUUAAAUUCUUCUGGAGCUGUUCUGACCUAAGCUAACUGCUUUUCUAUUGACAUCAACUUUUGCCACUUCAGCCUUCACCCCGACAUUAUUAAUACAGGAUUAAACAAUUUUGGUCUGCAUCCUGAUCUCUAGAGCACCUCAUUAUUAAUCUCUUUCCCGACCAGAACUGGUCAUUUAUUCCAUCCCUAUUUAUAACUGGAUUUUAAUUCUGUGGUUACCAAGUUUCCUUAACAGUUUCUUGAAUGGGUAUUUAUCAAAAGGUUUUUGAAUGUUCAAAUAAUUUAUAUCCUCUGUUUCUCCUUUCCCCAUUAUUUUACUAAUGCUUAAAAGUGUAAAGGUCCAACCGGCAGGAUUUAGUCUUAAAGUAGUUAUGUUACUUCUUGCCUUUGCUUGAGACUUGGUAUUUCCUUGCAAUUUGUACAAUGUGUAGAGCAACAGCUCUCUAAAUCUUGUGGCUUGAAGCAGCACCAAAUGUGUUGUCAAUGCUUAAUUAAAAAUAAGAGUAAACGUAAUACAUCAGUGAUAUUCUCAACUACUUCUUUGCAAUGAAGUUAAGCCAGUAAUGUACCAUUUCCAUGAGCUCGCUCUCUCUGUGUAAAUAUUUACAGGGUCUUUAUCGCUGCGGUACCAGAUUUCCCUGUGCAGGAGCAGAGUUAUCCUCACAACACCUCCGUGAUAUGGGCAGCCUUUCAUCCCAACUGACUGAUGGAGAAUCAGGGCACGCUGACAUCUGGCACAUAAAAAUCAAGUGUUUUGAGAACGCAGGACAGGAGAUAAAGCACCUUCCCCCCACUUACAGAUGCUGCAUUCACAAAUGAAAAACAAAAAUGCAAGAAUCAUCACAAUUCAUAAAUGCAAUCACACACAGCCACAGUGCCCCCAGCACCUCUUCCCAAGCUCUUUAAAGCCAGAACUUAUGUUUCCCUUUGGAGAAAAUGCAAAGCUGUGAUGGUAGGGCCUGAGCUUUUCCUUUUUGCAGGCUGUCUGCACUUGCAGGUUUUUGCUGGCUCUGCCACUGACCAUUUAUUUUGGACUCACACCACACACUUCAGGUUUCAAUCUGCAGUUUUGCUGCAGCCAGAACUAAUACAAUUGGCUGCAUCUCAGCUUGCUUCAAAUGGACAAGGGAGUGAGUUUCCUGAGAGAAAAGGAAGAAACAACAUUCAAGAAAGAUCUUGUUUAAAAAGUACCAUAAAGAUUUUGCCAUGUAAGAACACUCUCUAAAGAAGACAAAACCUAUAUGUUCAAGGGACUGGAGUCUGGCAGAGCGGAGAAUGAUGGAGAGCUUGGCUGUGAAGAAGCCCACACCUAGAGGCACAGCCCUGAGUGUUCAAGGGAUCUUGGGCCUCCUGGAUCAGUCUUUCAAACAAAAAAGCUCCCCUUCCACACAAACAACCAGAACAGGUGGCUAGGAAUUCAAAAGAAUAUGAUGUCCUUUCAGAGAGUAUGAACUUCUAAAUGCCAAAGAGGAGCAGUGCAAGCACACAAAUCUUCUGGAAGAACCAUUGACCCUGCAGAAGCUCUGACAGAUCCCAGCUCCCACAGACGUGUUUCCAGUUGUGGUUUUUAACUGAGGACCUGAAGCGGCCCAUGCUUGGAAUUCAUGGAAUCAUUAGGGUUGGUAAAGACCUCUGUGAUCAUCUGAUGACAGCAACAAACCCGAGGAAAUGGCAUGUAGCUGCUUCUGUUGAGGGUUGGAGGGGGGUUAGGAAAAGGGUCUGCUCCAGAGGGUGGUAGGCAUGACACAGGCUGCCCAGGGCAGUGGGCACAGCCCAGAGCUGCUGGACUUCGAGGAGUGUUUGGACAGUGCCAACAGACAUAGGGUUUGAGUUUUUGGUGUUCCUGUGUGCAGCCAGGGGUUGGACUCAGUGGUUCCUGUGGGUCUAUAUUCUGUGGUUCUGUGAUUCUACAACCUAGUCCAGUCGUCAUCCCACCCUCCCAGCAGCGUUGCCAACUUGAAAGCCCCGCGGGUGCCUCCAGUGCCGUGAGGUCAGGGAUGCUCUCGGCGUUGCGUCCCGCGUGCGGACACGGGGGAGCGGCGGGGCAGAGGGAAGCCCCGGGCCGGCUCCGUUGGGGAGCAGCGCGGCCCCGCGGGCUGUUUGCUGUCGGCCGCAGCUCGCUGUUGACUUUGCCCGGUAGCUGUGUUUACAGAGCCGUGUUGGUUUUGCUGGCAGCGCGCUGUAGUGAGGCCGCAGCCCCUCUCGCCGUGCCGCCCGCCCGCCUCGCCGCCCUAAUCAGCGGCAGGCCCCGGGCACGGGGUAAUUAGAACCAUGGAGGGGCUCUCUGGCGUUUGAAAUCUGCCUCUCGACAUCAAAGGGCUCCGCACAAGUCGUCCUCCAGAGGUCGGCUCCCAUAUCUAAAUGAGCGAUGUAUUUCAUGGUAUCUGUCGGGAGGGAUACAAUGAAGAAAAGCGGCUCGGAGAUGGGGCGCGAUGGGAAAAGCAGGUGGGCCGCUUUCAUCUGCGGCGAAGCAUCUGUUUUGCGGUCGGGGCUCUCCGCUGCCGUGCACCGCGCAUUCGAGGCGGGCGCGGAGCUUCCGCGGACGCGCAGCCCCCCGUCGCCGGGCAGCACAGUGCCCCUAAACCACGAUUGUUCCAACGACUUCAUCCCGUCCCCGUUUUUGCAGACCUGGAGGGUGCUGGCUGGUACCGAACCGGUCCUAAAUCCCCAUUCGAACACGGAAGGCUGCAAGCGUGCAACGCUUUAGGACAGAAACCAUCGGGGAAUGGGGAGAGCGAGGCUCCGGGGCUACAGGGCGAUCCGCAGGGCAGAAGCCCCCUCCCCCUCCCCAGGCAGCGGCGGGGAGGCUUUAUAGGAGGCGGUGAUUACGCGCCCCGCUCUGUUUAUGGGGUGAUUACGGCCCCGCGGGGCCGGAGGCUGAGCCGCCCCGAGCUCCCGGGAGAGCCGAGGCUGAUUUCUUCCAUUUUUAUUUAUGUGCAUGCCGUGUGUAUUGCCCCGAUGGCCGUCCCUCUCCCUCCUUGGAAGCGAUUUCCCACUGCCAUUGUGGUGAACUUUGCCUCUCCGGGCUCUUAGCGGCUUUCCUCCCGCUGAUGGGCUCUCCUUUGUGGCAGCGGCUCGGCUGAUUGUGCUCGUUAAUUAGUUGCUAACAGCGUCGUAAUGUGGCCUUGAUGGAUAACCGUGUCAUUAGCGCUCCCCCCGGCGAUUCGCACCUCCGGCAGCGCGAGGGCUGCGAUUAACAGCUCCAUCCCGAGCGUGUGACACGUUCCCUGCGGUACCGCUUCCCCACGGCCACGCGCGUCCCUCGGGGCCGUGGCACAUUUCGGGGCAGCUCCCGCAUUCCCCCGACGGCGGCGCCCCAGCCCCAGCCCCGCCGGAGAAGGAGCACGGGGCCGCGGUUCCCGUCGGGGG